This 839-nucleotide ribosomal RNA is filed under the name uncultured archaeon. Its description in RNAcentral is "bacterial SSU rRNA". It matches the Rfam family "Archaeal small subunit ribosomal RNA", at positions 84 to 922 of the family's 1478-position model. The record is from RNAcentral.
UACGGCUCAGUAACACGUGGCCAAACUACCCUACAGACCGCGAUAACCUCGGGAAACUGAGGCCAAUAGCGGAUAUCACUCUCAGACUGGAGUGUCGAGAGUGAGAAACGUUCCGGCGCUGUAGGAUGUGGCUGCGGCCGAUUAGGUAGAUGGUGGGGUAACGGCCCACCAUGCCGAUAAUCGGUACAGGUUGUGAGAGCAAGAGCCUGGAGACGGUAUCUGAGACAAGAUACCGGGCCCUACGGGGCGCAGCAGGCGCGAAACCUUUACACUGCACGACAGUGCGAUAGGGGGACUCCGAGUGUGAGGGCAUAUAGCCCUCGCUUUUCUGUACCGUAAGGUGGUACAGGAACAAGGACUGGGCAAGACCGGUGCCAGCCGCCGCGGUAAUACCGGCAGUCCAAGUGAUGGCCGAUAUUAUUGGGCCUAAAGCGUCCGUAGCUUGCUGUGUAAGUCCAUUGGGAAAUCGACCAGCUCAACUGGUCGGCGUCCGGUGGAAACUACACAGCUUGGGGCCGAGAGACUCAACGGGUACGUCCGGGGUAGGAGUGAAAUCCUGUAAUCCUGGACGGACCACCAAUGGGGAAACCACGUUGAGAGACCGGACCCGACAGUGAGGGACGAAAGCCAGGGUCUCGAACCGGAUUAGAUACCCGGGUAGUCCUGGCUGUAAACAAUGCUCGCUAGGUAUGUCACGCGCCAUGAGCACGUGAUGUGCCGUAGUGAAGACGAGAAGCGAGCCGCCUGGGAAGUACGUCUGCAAGGAUGAAACUUAAAGGAAUUGGCGGGGGAGCACCACAACCGGAGGAGCCUGCGGUUUAAUUGGACUCAACGCCGGA